GAGUUUGAUCCUGGCUCAGGAUGAACGCUGGCGGCGUGCCUAAUACAUGCAAGUCGAGCGGUAACACUUCGGGUGACGAGCGGCGGACGGCAGAGUAACACGUAGGAACGUACCCCAAACUAGAGGGAUAAGCACCGGAAACGGUGUCUAAUACCGCAUGUGAUCUUCGGAUUAAAGCUUCGGCGGUUUGGGAACGGCCUGCGCAUGAUUAGCUUGUUGGUGAGGUAAAAGCUCACCAAGGCGACGAUCAUUAGCUGGUCUGAGAGGAUGAUCAGCCUGACUGGGACUGAGAACGGCCCAGACUCCUACGGGAGGCAGCAGUGGGGAAUAUUGGACAAUGGGGGCAACCCUGAUCCAGCAAUGCCGCGUGAGUGAUGAAGGCCUUAGGGUUGUAAAGCUCUUUUGCCGGGGACGAUGAUGACGGUACCCGGAGAAUAAGCCCCGGCUAACUUCGUGCCAGCAGCCGCCGUAAG
Molecule: ribosomal RNA, 473 nt
Filed under: uncultured Alphaproteobacteria bacterium
Lineage: Bacteria; Pseudomonadati; Pseudomonadota; Alphaproteobacteria
Description: bacterial SSU rRNA
Rfam family: Bacterial small subunit ribosomal RNA
Source: RNAcentral